This 10023-nucleotide long non-coding RNA is filed under the name Vigna radiata. Its description in RNAcentral is "long non-coding RNA (VRAD_LNC004413)". Lineage: Eukaryota; Viridiplantae; Streptophyta; Magnoliopsida; Fabales; Fabaceae. The record is from RNAcentral.
GUUUGUGAGGGUGAUUCAUGCACAGGAACAGAUAGUUGAAGGGUUCUUAUACUACCUAACUUUGGAAGCAAAAGAUGGUGAGAGUAAAAAUGUGUAUGAAGCGAAGGUGUGGGAGAGGUCAUGGAUCAACUCCACUCUAUUGGUCGAAUUUAAGCUUAAGCUUGUCAAUGAUGCUCUUUAAUCUUCUUUCCAUCGUAGAAUACCACUUUUCAAGACUAUUUUACUAUGCAUGUAUGCUAUAAAUAAAUGUAACUCAUGUUACGUACCCACCAUAUAUGUAUUCCCAUGAACUCCACUAUAAAUAAACGUUAUCAUUUAAUUAUAACUAAUGUUUGUGAUAUAUAUUUGUUGUUUAUUUGAAUAAAUUUAUUUUUGUUAAGAGGAUUCCAAGGUAAUUUAUUUUUUAUGUUUAUUUGAAAAAAUUUGGAGGUAAUAGUGAGACUAGAUUUCGAAGUAAAAUUUGUGAGAAUUAGUGUAGUAUUUAUUUUAUGUGACAGAUUAAAAAAAUUUACUUCCAAAUUCACUUUUACUUACCUCUAAAUCUAUUCAAAUAAACAACAAAAAAUUAGGCUUAAUAGCACUAAUGGUCCCUAUUUUGGCUAUCCACCUCAUUAAAAAUUGGGUUUCAUUAAAGAAAGACUUAAUACCUCUGAUGGUCCCUAUUUUCGUUAAGUGUGUUCGAAAUGGUCCUAGUUUUAUUUCAGAUUUUACCUCACUAUGCCUCAAGGGAAUCCACGUGGCCAGUUAAAUGCCACAUUAACACUUUUCUGCACAGCUGGAGUUUUUGCCGUUAACUAUUUAAACGGCGUCUCCAAAAAGGACCAGAUUGAACGAAAUUUACAAUCUUUAGGACCACAUUGAACAGAAAAAAAAAAUGGGGACCAAUUUGAAGUUUGCCAACCAAAAUAGGGACAUUAGUGUUAUUAAGCCAAAAAAUUAUCAUCAAAUCCUCUUAAUUACUCUCCUCCAAAUCCACUCAGGUGAACACAGUUUUAAUAGAUGAAAGAUUAUAAUAUCCUUAUAUAUAUAUAUAUAUAUAUAUAAUACUCUAUUCCUUGAAAUAAUACAUUAGAAUUAUUUUUUAAACUUUUUAUUAGUUGCAUCAUCCUUUCUAAUGGGGUUUUUCCCAUUGCUUGUGUUUAUUCUCUUCCCGUCUAAGUUCUGCGACGAACUCUUUUUGGUCUAAAUAGUACUGUUUCAAACUUAAGUAACUUAUUACUCACGCCCCCGUAUGUUAGCAUCAUUAAGUGUGUUAUCCUAUAUUUUUCUGUGUCUUAAUUACUCCAUGGUUGUAUUCUCCACCUCAUUGUAUAAUUUGUUUAUGAAAUAAUAAAGUUUGUCAUCGAAUUUGAAAUUACUGAACAUGUAUAUAAUACCACAAAGCUUUGUCUAUCCCAAACUUUCAGCUUUGAAUUCACUGGCACUACUACAGAAUUAAUCAUAGAUAGCGCUUUUUUAAAUAAGCGCUAUCUAUGAAUGUACAGAACAAUAGAUAGCGCUUAUUUAAAAAAACGCUAUCUAUACCUAUGAUAAUAGAUAGCGCUUUUUAGAAAAAACGCUAUCUAUAAAUAAUUUUUUUUUUUUAAAUUCAUAAUUUAAAAUAGAUUCAUAAUAGAUAACAUUUAUUUUAAAAAACGCAAUCUAUUAUAACACAAUAAAUAAGAUUUUACUUAAAAUAUAUAUAUAUAUAUAUAUAUAUAUAUAUAUAUAUAUAUAUAUAUAUAUAUAUAUAAUGUUAAAAAUAUUUUGAAAAGAGGUUUUCAAUCCCUCUUCGUCGGAGUAUUUUACGUAUUUCGUUCGAGUUUCUUUUUACUCUUCUUUGAACUCUUUUUAUUUUCAUAUUUUCCAAAAUUUUCCCUGUUUUUCCUAUUUACUCUCGUAUUUUUUAAAAUUUUCUCCCUUUCUCUUAAAUUUUCAGUUUCACUUAAGAUACAAAUUCAUCAAUCCCGCCAUCCCCAAAUUUCACUUUCGAUUUGCCCCUAAAUUUUACUUCGUGCUUGCACUCAAAUUUCACUGUGUUUAUCCCAAACCGGCAUUACAUUUUAGAUCUUAGUGGAGCAAGUCAUUAUUGUGUUGUCUUCUCCAUCAUUGCUCAUCGGCAGGCCAAAGUUCAUCAGUUGCCAUCACUGGUAAGGGUUUAGGAAACCAACCUCCUUCAAUAAAUUAGUACGGUCGUGGCUAGGUUUAAUGCUUCGCCAGAAGUUCUGGUGAGAGAAGUGAUGGUGUUGUUGAAGACAUCACCUACAAACCACACCUCGAGUCAGCACUCUCCUUUGCCAUAUCUUCAUUGUGCUUGCGGCAAUGUUGGCACCUCAUUUUCAAUUUCGUGUUACUUCUCUCAUUCUCGCGAAGCAUCACCAACAAACCACUCCUCAAGUUCUCUCUCUUGCAACAGCCACAAUUCUUCACAUAUCCACCUUUUCUCCUCACAUUUCUACCUUAUUUCAGCUAUUUCGGCCUUAGAAACACUAUCUUCACCGAGUAGUUCUUCGAUCUACGGCCUCUGUUAGGAUUUCCCUCAUUUUUCAUCUUUUUCUUUGAUUAUAACCGUUUAAAUACUCUUUUGCUCCGAUUAAACACUUUUCCACCGUUUAAUCUCCAUUUUGAUCUGUUUAAUCGGUUAACGUAGUGUUUUAAGGUUCUUUCACCGUUCGAUUUAGGGUUUCCUUGCUUCAUUCAUAGUUUUCGUUUGUUUGCUCUUGGAUUCGUAUCAUUCCAUUGCGUUUCACUCUUCGAGGACUUAUUGGAAAGGUGGACUUUACUGUUAGGCAUCUAUCUUCUUCCAGAAACUCAUUUCCUACCACAUGGGAGUUCAGCAGUACUCAACAAUGUAUUGGAAACACACAUCAGGUCUGUUGUUUCUUUUUCUCUGACCGAAAGUCCAUUUUUUUUCUCUCUUGAAAGUAAUUUUUAUUUUGCAAGUGCUCAUUCUGAUAUUUUCCCCUUUGUCUGAAAAAUAGUGUUCUACAUACACUGCAAUCCUUCAUCAGAGAAAACCUGGACCAUGCGUACCACCUUUCCGGAAUAUGUUGUUGCUCUGGCCAGUAUAGUUGGAUCUGUGCUUUUUGCUAUAAGUUAAUCCUAUCUCAUAUGUUGCCUGGUAAUUUAUGGAUUUUUGAGCAAAAUAUAUAUAUAUAUAUAUAUUUUUUACUUUUCAAAUUAUCAUACAUUCUUCCAAUUAUCAUAUUUUUUUCUUGUGAAAGUGUGUAUGAAUUAGGAUAUUGGGCUACUUGACUCCCCAAAAAUUUUAAUUUGAUCCUAUAAAUUGCACACAAGCAGAAGCAAUUACUUANAAUAAUGACCNUGGUAAUGCCUUGCAUCCAAGGUCGCAAGUAAGUUUAUUUCCUAUUACUGAUGUUAGNAAUUGAUUUCUCACCGUUCAAUCCAGAUAUUUGGUGGUGUUGGUAUUGCUUGUCUUCCAUUGGGACUUAUAUUUUCUUUCAUUCAACGUCCAAAGGCUGUUAUCACUCGUUCCAGUAUAUCAAGGUGUUAUAUCCUUUUAGAGCUGGAAACUACUAAAUGUUGAUUGAAUAUGUUGUAUUAUAUUUAUUGNGUGGUUUGUUGGUUAUGGUUGUAGGAAGCUACUAAAUUGGGCUGAAAAGCAAAAGAUCUGAAGAAAGCAGCUGAGUCACUUCGUCAGGAAGAAAAAGCUGGUUCAAAGGAUAGGAAAUUUCGUAAAAAUGUGAAAUCAGUGGAAAAGUACCAUUGUGGUUUAGUGCUUUAGUGGUACUUUAUAUUUCCAACAUCGUGUUAAAUAUUUUAUGUGUACNAUUGUUCACAUGCCAUAUAUUAAGUUGAUGUAUGCUUUUCUAGUGGCUGCUCAAACUUGUCCANAGUUUAUGAUUAAUUUGUUUGUGUUUAUGUUCUUAAACUUACCUAUCUUGCAUAAUUUGCCAGGAGUUGCUUCAAUUAGAAGAUUUCAAACUUCUUGAAGAGAUGUACCCAUAAGGAGAAAAGGUGAGUUCCUUGUCCAUACUAGACUUCUACACAUAUACAAUGUGCUAUAGUUCCCCCACUUACUGAUCCUGUAUGAAUNCAGGCUGAGGCAACAUGGGCACUAACAGUUCUAGGGUAUNUGGCAAAACUUGUUUUGGGAAUUUUAGGGUAAGCAAUGACAUAUAAGGAUUGAGUUACUUGGAAUGCUGGAUACACUAAACUGUCUGUGAUGAUUUUCAGAAGGUUCUCUCUUGAUAAAUUUCAUAAAGAUUGAUAGAUAAAUAGAUUAAAUGGUUUAUUUUCGUUACUAAAAAUUGAUUGAAUUUAAAUUAAUGAAGGAANGACUGAUAAGAAGUUUAAGUAAAAUUAUAUUUGGUUAUAGAAUAUAUAAUUUAACUAGGAGAAAAUAAUGAUAUUUUAGAGAAAAUAGACAAAAUUAGUUGNAUUGAAGUGCUACUAGANGUAUGAGGGUGGCAAUAGACACCCCUUCGAUGGGGGCAGUGAAUACAGUUGCAUUACUAUUGCUGGGAUAUUAUUACUCUUGCUAUCUUAAUCUAAAACAGGUUUUAUGACUUCCAUGUAUCAUCUAACUUAAGAUUUGAAAACUGUGCCAGAUUAAUCGUUUCUGUGGCGUGGGUUGGUCAUAUUAUUAUCUAUCUAUUAGUUGAUCCUCCUAUUUCUCCUUUCUUGAAUGAAGUUUUCAUCAAGCUGGAUGAUAUCUGGGGUAUGUUGGAAUACGCUUACCUUAAUAUUUGAUUACCAUAAGUUAUAUAGUUUAGAUAUAUUAUAUUAUAAUUUCCAUUAUAUUAUUCUUCGUGAUGUCUUCUUCUUUCAUUAGGUCUUCUUGGUACACCUGCAUUUGCAUUCUUCUGCUUCUACCUUCUUGNUGUGAUUGCUGGAGCCAUGGUGCUUGGGCUGAAGUUUUUAUUACUANUCAUCCAAUGAAGUAAUUAAACAUUGCAGUCUAUUAUACCAUUUCACAUUGAUUUUAAUUUGUAUUGGUCACAUACUAGGACUUGUUAAUUUUUCUAACAUUAAUUUCUACUAAAAUUUAAUUAACUAAUUUUAUAUUUUUUUUUGCAGUAUUUUUUUAGUUACAGAUGUCGACAACAUUGUGACAAUCAAAUCAUUGAAGUUAGAGAAGAUUGAUGUUUAUAUUUAAUUAGUACACAUUUAUAGGUUAUGUUAUGAAUGUUAUACUUGUAUAUAUUGUCUUAUAAAGCUAUGUAAUAUCUUAUAAAGUUAUGUAAUGUCAUGAUACAUAUUGAAUAAUUCAAUGAUUAUAUUUUGAAAUAUUAUUGUAUCAAUGAUUUUUAUUUGUACACUAAACUAAUGAACAUUUUUUUAUCUUUGUAGUUUCAUAUUUUUCUUAAUAAUUUAUAUUUUUUUAUAUAUAAUAGAAUCAAUAAAUAGUGUUAGUUUGUAUACAAUAGAAUUAAUAUUUUAUAUUUUUUUUGAAAAAAUAUUUUAUAUUUUUUGAAAUAUUUUAUAUUUUUUGAAAUAUUUUAUUAAAAAUUUAUUAUUAUUUUUUAAAAAUUUAGAUUAAUAGAUAGCGUUUAUUUAAAAAAGCGCUAUCUAUUGGUGUCUGACAAUAAAUAGUGCUUAUUUAAAGAAGUGCUAUCUAUUAAUAGAUAGCGCUUACAUAGAUAGCGCUUGCUUAAAAAGCGUUAUCUAUAAUAAAAAAAAUAGCGCUAUCUAUGAGUUUUUUUGUAGUAGUGUGGGCUGAUCUAAUCAUUCUUUCGUUAACUUUAUUGUUGUCGCCAGAAUCUAAAACCCAUCGCUCAUUACAUGCAGAAAACAAACUAAACACGCAGUUUUGUUCUGAAACUUAGUCUUGGGUUCUCUUCUGCACUUGAUCUGCAAACACAUAAUAAAUUAUAAUGUAAGAGAUUUGAUGACAAUCAAUAGUGAAAAAUCUUAAAUUUUAUUUAAUUUCACUUCUCUUUAUCUAACGGAAGACUUUUCUUUUACCUUAAUUUUUAAACAAUCAUACUGAGUCCAGUGAGAAAAGAAUUAGAAGGAAGUUCUCUAAGCUACAACACAGAGUGUUAUAGUAUCUCAAUUUAGACCCAUAAAUUUCAAAAUGCACUUAAGUUGGUCCUACAUAGACAUAAUUGAUGAGAUUCCAGAUAUACAUAUAGUUGAAGAGACACGUACAAUUCUCUCAGAAUUCAAUAUUACAACCUCAAACAAAUUACAUAUAGUGGAUACUCCCAAACAAAAUAAUUAUAACAAGCUUUUUAGACUAUGCAAAUCUCCAAACUUUAACCCUUGAUUAUUUGGAGACAAAUAAUGGCAGUCUAUUUAAUAGAAAAAGCUUGUAUGGAUUUACUUGCCAUCAUCAUGAUGUAAAAGUUUGGCAAUGAGCUUGGAUGAAUGAUUUUCAAUGCUUUAAUAGUAUUCAGUUCAAGAAAGUUGUUUUGUUGUCUAGUUUUCUCUUAGAUGCUUGUAAUUGACAUUUGCUUUACUUUUGUUGAUGUUACCUUCCGACAACUUCUAAAUUGAAAUAGAUCAAUUUAAGAAUCUGGAGAGAAUGUUCGAUACUCAAAAGAAUGUUUUACUUUUAUGUAUGUGGAACAUAGAAUCCACCUUUUCUUCUUUACUCUUGGAAUCCAGCUAUUCUUGGGAUUUACUUUUAGAAUUUAGCAAUCCUUGGUUUUACUUUUGGAACAACAUUCUCUUGGUCUUCCUUCGUUAAUUUUAAUACCAAUAAAUCAGCAAAAAAUAAUAUAGGACCUUUUGAUAUCAGAAAAAUAAAAAUUUAAUUAUACAUUAUUAACUUGAAAAAUGUUACCUAUACAUUUUCUAACAUUUAAAAAAAUGUUGCCUCUACACUCUACUACAAAAGUGACAUAUUAUAUUGAUUUAGAAAUCAGUAGUGUAAGGUGAUAUAAUAAGUGAAACACAUAUGAUAUUAGUUAUCUAAGAAUCGAUGUUAUAUGUUAUGAUUUUUUCUUUUAAAAGCACGGUGUAACAACGGCUUGCGGUUAUGAAACGAGUGCGAGGAUGGAGGGCGAAACUGAAACUAGUGUCGACAAGAUGGACUUUUCUCAAUAGCAGCACAAGGAGGGUGUUUCUUUCAUGCACCUUCCUUCACAUAGCACUACAACAACGACAAUGGCCAGGGUUCAACACAAAGUAGUGAAAGGUUGUGCCUUCUUCGCAUAGUAGUAGUGACGCAAUAUGGAGGCUUCUCAGUGUUAAAGGGCGACAUCGAUGAAACUAGCGGGAAAAGAAAAAAACCAAUGAAGCUUUUCUAAAUAUCGAGAGGGAAGCUUUUGAUUAUGUAACGUAUCCUAAGAAUAUUCCUUGUACAAUCUUAUCUUCAAGCUUGUGUCUCCUUUGAUCAGGAACAUGUACGCAGUAGAUUGAUCAAAAUACUGGUAGGUGGUUAGUUUCCAAAUUUCUUUCACUUCAAGGUUCAAUAAUAGUCUUGCCUUGGACUACCUUAGUUGGACAUUUAUUUAGAUUGUAAACUGUAAUGUAAACUUCUUUAGUCCAAAAAGUAUUAGGGAUGCUUUUCUCUUUUAGCAUUGAUCUUGUAUCAUCUCCAUGACUGUAUGAUUCUUUCUCUGUGUGGCACACCAUUUUGUUGUGGAGUAUAUGUGACUGUAAGUUGUCUAUCUGUGUCUUCAUCUUCACAAAAUUUUUCAAACUCGCGAGAUAUGUUUUCCUUUCCACGAUCACUUCUAAGUACUUUUAUCUGUUUUUCGCAUUACUUCUCAACAAGGGCCUUACAAUUCUUGAAUACUCUUAAGAGUUUUGACUUUGCCUUUAAGAAAUAGACUCAUGUUAUCUUAGAGAAGUCAUCAAUGAGAAGGAUGAAAUACAUGUUGUUGUGAUGUAAAGGCGUCCUUAUCGAUCCACAAAGAUUAGUAUGGAUCAUCUCUAAAGUCGUUUGCUCUCCAUGCUUUUCCUGUUGAGAACGGCAAUCAAUGUUGUUUCCCGAGAAAACAUCUAUCGCAUGAUUCAUUAUUCUGCUUCAAGCAUAGAAGAUCUCUCAUCAUGUUUUUCUUAUAUAGAAGCUUUGAGGCAUUUGUGUUGAAGUAGCCAAAUCUCCAAUGUCAAAGUCAUGAGUCAUCAACUUCUGUCUUCAUAACAAUAUUAGUUCCAAGUUUGAAACUUAUAGGAAAUCUUCUAUUUAUAUUCUCCAUUUUUACUUGACCAAUUUAUAACUUUCUGUUGUCAUAAAUUUUUUAUGUAUCUUUCUCAAAGUGAAAAGAAUAUCUAUUCUCAUUGUGGUGUCGUUUCUCAGCCGAACUUUGACAUUGAUAGAUUUAUUCCCUUAUAUUUUUAGUUCUAAGAUUAUAAUUUUAGUUUUAGUUGAAAGACAUUUUUAAUCAAGUGUUAAAUGUUGUCUUACAUCAAAUCAUAAUAUAUAUUAUAUUUAUAGAUUCAGAUUAUUUUAAAAAAUGUUAAUCAUAACUUAUAUAAAAUGUUCUAGAUUUUUAACUACGUAAAAUAUUUUUAAUUUUGUUUUCUAUAUUAGUUGUGAAGACUUCAACCCACAGUCAUACUAAUUUUAGGAGUUUAGUAUCCCGUAACCUUCUAAUACCAUAUACUUCACCAUUUAAACAAAUAAGCACUAUAACUACUUCCAAUGAUAAUUUUAUUUUAUCAAUACCUAUGUAUAACAGAUAAAAAUAAGAAACAUUAAUAAAAUAAGUUUUUUAACAAUUAUUUUAAACAUAUAAUUGGGUUAUAUAAACGAGUGAGUAAUGUUAAAUAAAUUCUAGUAGUAAAAUAGAUAAUUAAUUAAAUAAAAUCAUAGCUAAGGUUUUGUAAUAAAAUAUCUUUGUCAUUUUGUUUUAUUAAUUACAUAAAUUUCCAAAAAACAUUAAGAAAAAAAAAAACGAAAUAAAGAAUCAUAUAUGUUCACAUCCAAACACGUUCUAAACAUUGGGUGAGUUGUGUCCACAAUUCUAAUUAUCGNNNNNNNNNNNNNNNNNNNNNNNNNNNNNNNNNNNNNNNNNNNNNNNNNNNNNNNNNNNNNNNNNNNNNNNNNNNNNNNNNNNNNNNNNNNNNNNNNNNNNNNNNNNNNNNNNNNNNNNNNNNNNNNNNNNNNNNNNNNNNNNNNNNNNNNNNNNNNNNNNNNNNNNNNNNNNNNNNNNNNNNNNNNNNNNNNNNNNNNNNNNNNNNNNNNNNNNNNNNNNNNNNNNNNNNNNNNCAUGAGAUCAUUGUAUACUGUUUCUCUACCACUCAAAAUUCAAUGAAAAGAAGAUAAGGUUUGGUAUAUUUUUGAGUAUAAAGAGUGGUAGAACAGAGAGGGUGAUGAAGAGAAGAGAAAUAUGGCAACAGCAAAAGUAACUGUUGGUCUUGGUGGCAUCACCAAUGUGCCUGGAGCUCCCAACAACGUGGAGAUCGAACAUCUGGCUCGCUUCGCCGUUCACUAUUACAACCAUCAGCACAACGCAGAUUUGGAGUUUGUGACAGUGAUAAGUGCAAAGAAGCAGGUGGUGAGUGGGGUGUUGUAUUACAUAACCUUGAUGGUCAAAAAUGGCGAAACCAAAAUCCUGUAUGAAACCAAAGUGUGGGUGAGAGAAUGGUUGAAGUCUAAGGAGGUGCUGGAAUUCAAAGUCGUCGACGAUUCAACCACAAAAUUAGGCACAGGUGAAAGAAAGGAUGUUCCUGCCGACACCCCUUACAUCCAAAAUCUCGGUCGCUUUGCCGUUGAUCAAUACAACAAAGAGCAGGUUCUCUUUUAUUAUAUUGUUCUUUCUUUUCUUGAUUUCACUAGAGAACCAUUAUUCCAUGAUUGAUUUUGUUGAUGACGCAGAAUGCAAAUUUGAAGUUUGUGAGGGUGAUUCAUGCAAAGUUGCAGAUAGUGAAAGGGUCCUUAUACUACCUAACUUUGGAAGCAAAAGAUGCUGAGAGUAAAAAUGUGUAUGAAGCGCAGGUGUGGGAGUUCAACUCCACUGAAUUGGUGGAAUUCAAGCGUGUCAAUGAUGCUCUUUAAUCUUCUUUCCACUUUUCAAGACUACGUACUUUUAUUAUGCAUGUAUGCUAUAAAUAAAUGUAACUCAUGUUACGUACCCACCACCACCAUGUAUUCUCAUCAACUCCACUAUAAAUAAACUUAUUAUAUAA